Cyprinus carpio carpio is the source of this 332-nucleotide long non-coding RNA. Lineage: Eukaryota; Metazoa; Chordata; Actinopteri; Cypriniformes; Cyprinidae. The record is from Ensembl.
CUCUCGUCCUUACUGCAGUGUGAGCUAUGUGCCCGACUACUUACCCCUCUAAGUGCAUCUCAUCUUCAUUUCAUCUUCAGCCUGUAUUCCAGACUCUGUUAGGUAAGUGGUGUGUGUGGAGAGCUGAGGGACCGAGAUGAGAGGGAGACAGAGCGCCAGCACCACUGGAUGAGUGGAUCUCUGCAGCAGCAGCAGCAUCAGGUGCAUGAUUUGACGGGCACUGCCGUUUUCACAGGACCAGACAGCACAGGUCACCGUAGCCACCAGAUCCAAUCUGUAUCCAGAUCAGAUGGUCACUGCAGUCACCCGGAUCCAGUACGUAUCCAGCCCAG